This 101-nucleotide non-coding RNA is filed under the name Streptomyces sp. Its description in RNAcentral is "ZTP sequence". It matches the Rfam family "ZMP/ZTP riboswitch aptamer (pfl RNA motif)". From Rfam's summary of the family: Previously known as pfl RNA. ZMP is also known as AICAR. The record is from RNAcentral. Lineage: Bacteria; Bacillati; Actinomycetota; Actinomycetes; Kitasatosporales; Streptomycetaceae.
GGGGCGGGCCGUGACUGGCGUUCGGGUGGAUCACCACCGGGGAGCGGCCCGGCGUACACGCACCUCCCGUACGUCGACUGCCGCGCGCCUGGGCGACCGCG